UCCUCAUUGUACAUGCUGUGUGUAUUUGUCACGUACACAGCGCAUGCAAUGUGGACA
RNAcentral lists this microRNA precursor (57 nucleotides) under Columba livia (rock pigeon). RNAcentral's name for it is "Cli-Mir-460-P2_pre stem-loop". It matches the Rfam family "mir-460 microRNA precursor family", at positions 12 to 67 of the family's 77-position model. The record is from RNAcentral. Lineage: Eukaryota; Metazoa; Chordata; Aves; Columbiformes; Columbidae.